GACGAACGCUGGCGGCACGCUUAACACAUGCAAGUCGAACGAGAGAAGAGAAGCUUGCUUUUCUGAUCUAGUGGCGGACGGGUGAGUAACACGUGAGCAAUCUGCCUUUCAGAGGGGGAUACCGAUUGGAAACGAUCGUUAAUACCGCAUAAUAUAAUUGAACCGCAUGAUUUGAUUAUCAAAGAUUUAUCGCUGAAAGAUGAGCUCGCGUCUGAUUAGCUAGUUGGUAAGGUAACGGCUUACCAAGGCGACGAUCAGUAGCCGGACUGAGAGGUUGAUCGGCCACAUUGGGACUGAGACACGGCCCAGACUCCUACGGGAGGCAGCAGUGGGGAAUAUUGCACAAUGGAGGAAACUCUGAUGCAGCGAUGCCGCGUGAGGGAAGAAGGUUUUAGGAUUGUAAACCUCUGU
RNAcentral lists this ribosomal RNA (411 nucleotides) under uncultured bacterium. Its description in RNAcentral is "bacterial SSU rRNA". It matches the Rfam family "Bacterial small subunit ribosomal RNA", at positions 28 to 436 of the family's 1533-position model. The record is from RNAcentral.